This is a long non-coding RNA of Bombyx mori (domestic silkworm), 1508 nucleotides long. RefSeq lists it as uncharacterized. The record is from RefSeq and is a predicted model, not a curated record. The transcript is spliced from 2 exons. Lineage: Eukaryota; Metazoa; Arthropoda; Insecta; Lepidoptera; Bombycidae.
GAGGUGACACCUGUCAUGUACUUAUUGUUUAAUUUGUCUAUGGUGAUCACUUUGUUGGUGCAAAUAAAUAAAUAGAUAAAUAAAUAACUGCGAGUUGAGAAAGGCUAUCAAGACCACGUGCUAGCAAGCGCAGUGUGGGACGACCAUUUAUCAGAUGUAGCGACGACCUGGUACCCCCGGCGGGAUUCGAUCACCGGUGCAUCGCUAGAUACGAAUGCACCGGACGUUUUAUCAAAGAACUAACUUCAAAGAAGAUUCUUAGCGAACUAUUACUCUUUUUCCAUUCAGGCCUAUCUUCAUUGCGCCACACAUUGCACCGGUGACCUAUAACUCAAGCGUCAACAAAUAACUGUUCCAACAAAACACGCACGAUCGCUUACGACAGCUAUAAACCUUAUUAAAACAUCACGACGAUCGGCUAAUAUCCAUGUACGGAGACAUAUAAGUAGCGAAAUACACUUAAAAGUCCUCACACGAUGCUAAGUCUGCAAACAAAGUACUCUGCGCCUCUUGUAUUUGAGUGUCCACUUGACGGAAGACGAUCUCUCGAUAUGUCCUUUGUUGAACUCUCCCAGCAUUCUUAUAGCAAACAUUUACAAUGUGCUAUUUAUUUUUGGUAUUGCUAUAAAAAAAAAUACAGAGAAAUGAAUGUGGUCAAUCUAUCGAUUUAGUAUUACUUAUAUGUAUUUGUUUUAUGUGUGUGUAAUUUUGUAUGUAUAUAGUCUGAUAUAUUAUGUAUUAGUGUUUUUUUAUUAUUAUUAUUAUUUAUUUAAAAUCUUAUUAAUAACAUAAGAUAUUAAAAAAAGAUGUGUGGUGUCGUAGGACACCGGAUAGGAACGAAGUUCCUUAUUAUAUAAAUAUUAUUAAUUUUAAGUUCUAUUCGUUAUUAUGAUUUUUUUAUUGAUAAAAAAAAUACUUUACAAAGUUAUCAACUUUAUUUUAUUUACAAUGAUUUAUAAAAAAUAUAUAAUAUUAAUAUACCAAGAAACAGCUAUUUAUAUGAAUAAUAAUAAAAAGAAGGAGAAAGAGAAAGGUAUUAUACACUACUCGCUUGUGUAUGCGACUGUCGCGCCUGCGCACGUCUCAUUUAACGGUUUUAUUCCACGCACUUUUUUCCACGGAUUUUUUCUUACGGUUUUACUAUCACAUUUUUUUCAGUUCGGUCGCGCAGCAAAAUCCCUAUCCCCUCCAAGCCUGCCGUAAGGAACUUCGUUCCAAUAAAAAUACAAUUUAAAAAAAAACACUAUAUAAGAUAGAUUGCCGCUGAUGGCAUGGAGUGUUUAGGACUACAAAGUGAGAAAUUGAAAAAAAGAAAAAAAGGGAUUGUGUAUUGCAUCAAUUAGUAAAUUGAUUAGACUGUACUCUUCUACCCACUUAUGUAAAGCUCUCUCUCUUUAAGAACGGUUAGCUGGUGGAUAACUCAAUUGUUGAGUUAAGCUCGCCAUUUUUUAACUUUGCGUUAUUAUUGUAUUGUAUUAGUUGUGUGUACAAUAAAGAAUAAAGAAUGU